CCUACGGGAGGCAGCAGUGAGGAAUAUUGGACAAUGGGCGCAAGCCUGAUCCAGCCAUGCCGCGUGCAGGAAGAAGCAUCUAUGGUGUGUAAACUGCUUUUGUACAGGAAGAAACACUCCCUCGUGAGGGAGCUUGACGGUACUGUAAGAAUAAGGACCGGCUAACUCCGUGCCAGCAGCCGCGGUAAUACGGAGGGUCCGAGCGUUAUCCGGAAUCAUUGGGUUUAAAGGGUCCGUAGGCGGUUUAAUAAGUCAGUGGUGAAAUCUGGUCGCUCAACGAUCAAACGGCCAUUGAUACUGUUAGACUUGAAUUAUAAGGAAGUAACUAGAAUAUGUAGUGUAGCGGUGAAAUGCUUAGAUAUUACAUGGAAUACCAAUUGCGAAGGCAGGUUACUACUUAUGGAUUGACGCUGAUGGACGAAAGCGUGGGGAGCGAACAGGAUUAGAUACCCUGGUAGUCCACGCCGUAAACGAUGGAUACUAGCUGUUCGGAGCAAUCUGAGUGGCUAAGCGAAAGUGAUAAGUAUCCCACCUGGGGAGUACGUUCGCAGAAUGAAACUCAAAGGAAUUGACGGCUGAGAGAGCGAGCGACGACGAGGGAGGAGG
This 606-nucleotide ribosomal RNA is filed under the name uncultured bacterium. RNAcentral's name for it is "bacterial SSU rRNA". It matches the Rfam family "Bacterial small subunit ribosomal RNA", at positions 338 to 947 of the family's 1533-position model. The record is from RNAcentral.